This 4055-nucleotide long non-coding RNA is filed under the name Podarcis lilfordi (Lilford's wall lizard). The record is from RNAcentral. Lineage: Eukaryota; Metazoa; Chordata; Lepidosauria; Squamata; Lacertidae.
AAAGGAAAAACCCCAUGUCAAAAAAUGCACAGCAAGUCCCCUUCUCCUUAACACCCCCCUGGAAGGGAUGCUGGGAACGACUGCUCUGCAAGGGAUAAACUCCUGGGAUUCUUUAAAUGUCUGAAAUCCUGGACAGCCUCUGCCAGCCAGGGAUGGUCAGAAUCACUAGAUGGCACCUUCCUGCUUUUCUGUUUAAAGCAGCCUUUUCUUGCACACCAUGAGGACUGGAAUCUUACUUUAGCAUAAAGGGAAGGGCUGCGGCUUGGUCGUCAGAGCAUCUGCUUGGCGUGCAGAAGGUCGCAGGUUUGAUCUCAGGCAACAUCUCCAGGUAGGACUGGGAGAGACCCCUGAGCCCCAAAUCCCAAAGAGCUACUGCCAGGCAGUGUUGACAGUAUUGAGCUAGGUGGGACCAGUUACUAGGAUAUUUUUAAGGCCCCUUCUUAUGACCCUCCUGGCUUUUGUAGUGCAGGUGGAAGGCAAGAAGAGGAAACUGUCUUCUCCCACUGCCCAGCACAUGUAAUUAACUUUUUAAUUCAUUGGUCAAUCAAUUAACAGCCAAGUAGGGGGGCUGCCUUCUUGCCAGAAAUGAGCUUUCUCUUUCAGGCUAAACCACAGAAGAUGGAGCCAGCUUGUUUUCUGCUGCUCCAGCAAGCCAAGCAAGUGGAUUCAAAAUGCAAGGAAGGAGAUUCCUGCUAAACACCCGGCUGGGAUUCUGGAGCUGGGAUUGCUGCAUUGCAGAGGGCUGGACUAGAUGACACUUGGAGACCCCUUCCAACUCUGCAAUUUUGGGAUUCUUUGAAAUAAACCACACUUUAAAAAGCGUGACGAAGAAAAAAGGCCUGUGUUUUGGUCGAUAGCUAGCCCUCGAUAUAGUUUAGAAAGAAGCACAUUUGGCACUCAGGAGACCUCACACCCCCUUUCACGGAGAAACGGGCUUCUCGCGCAGACGGCAGAUGGACCACACGGUCUCCUGGCAAAGGAGCUGUCCGAAAAAGCAACAUCAACUCCUCGACCCGUUUUGCUGGUUUCGUCCUUGAGCAAAGCUGCUCCAGAAUGCCAUCCUUGCAUUCCCGCACUUUGCGCUGGGGAAACCUGGACCUCCUAGGCUCGCUCGCCUUCCCUGUCUCGCCUCCUUCACACGGAUCUGGGACCAGCAGAGGGUUAAUUUUAGACAAUUAGCUGUGUCAGUUGAACUAAGUUAACAGGUGAGGCAGGAAUAAUUUGCUUGAGGGAAGAAUGGUAGGGGAGAGGAAAGAGAGAUGUCGGAAAGGUUCGCUCUAAGAGGAGCCGGCAGACGAGGGCCUGUUCACACAGCCAUGUGGGAGACGGGUGGGCAGCAACCAUGUUUGUGGUAGGCUGAGCAUCUCACCGGACCACGUUCAGAGGCAGCGACAUCUCUGAACAGCAGUUGCUUGAAAUGGCCAGAGGGGAGAGGGCUCUUAAAUGCUUUGCUCCCAAACUGGUUGGCCACUGUAAGAACCGGACACUGAACUAAAUGGAAACCCUUUGGCUUGUUUCAGCAGCCGGGCUCUAUUCAUGGGGCCUCCAGGUCCAGAGGCAGUCUACCUUAGGGGCAUUUGACCACUGUGAGGACAGGAGGCUGGACUAGAUGGGCAGAUGGGAAGAUUCAGCAGUCCUGGCUUGUGUACUUAUAGAACCUCCCAGGCCAGGGACAGUGAUGGGCACUUUGCCCACCUGUAGAGGAAUCACCUUGCCAACAAAGGUCCGUAUAGUCAAAGCUCUGGUUUUCCCAGUAGCGAUGUAUGGAAGUGAGAGCUGGACCAUCAAGAAGGCUGAUCGCCGAAGAAUGGAUGCUUUUGAAUUCUGGUGCUGGAGGAGACUCUUGAGAGUCCCAUGGACUGCAAGAAGAUCCAACCUCUCCAUUCUGAAGGAAAUCAGCCCUGAGAGCUCACUGGAAGGACAGAUCCUGAAGCUGAGGCUCCAAGACUUUGGCCACCUCAUGAGAAGAGAAGACUCCCUGGAAAAGACUCCCUUGGGAAAGAUGGAGGACACAAGGAGAAGGGGACGACAGAGGACGAGAUGGUGGGACAGUGUUCUCGAAGCUACCAACACGAGGGAGGCAGUGGAAGACAGGAGUGCCUGGCGUGCUCUGGUCCAGGGGGUCACGAAGAGGCGGACACGACUAAACAACAACAACAACAAGAGGAAUCGUGUGGUGUUUCUGCAAGCUGCAGCAGUUAAGAGGACAUUAUUACCUCAUAAGAGGAGCCUGAUGGGUCCGACCAGAAACCCAUUUAAUGGCACAUCCAGUUCUCACAGUGGCCAAGCAGAGGCUGGUUGAGGAACCUGGAAUCUAGACCCAAGUGCAGCAGAACUCCUGCAUUCUUUGGCUUCCAGCAACUGGUAUUUGAGAAAUAUUGCUUCCUCUGACCGUGAAGGCAGUGCAAAGCCAUCCUGAUUAGUAGCCAUUAAUAGUCGUCUCCUCCAUGAAUCUGUCUAAUCCCCUUUUAAAGCCAUCCAGGUCUCUGGCCGCUGCAGCCUCCAGUGGCAGGGAGUUCCACAGUUGAACUAUGCAUCCACCUGUCCUGAAUCUUCCAACCACCUCAGUAGAGUGCUUGGGCGUUUUAAGCCCUAAUUCUACACCAUAUCCGCGCUCCAGUUCUGAGUCGACAAAGACUUUCCCGCCACAGCUCACAACCGAGCCACCCUGAGGUCAUCUGUCCGCACUUUCCCCCGGUGUCCUUGUGUGAGCCGCCCUUUGGCUUUUGCCCCCCGGCCGUUUCAAAGAAGCUUCCCCCCCCCCCGCCAGCCGCCAGGUCCAGCUGUCACAGCGCAGUGAGGUAAGAAACGAGCAAGACUAAUGAAUGCAAUAACAGCCACUUAAAAUAAAGUAUGUUUUAUUAAAAGCAAUAAUGGCUCCUCGUGUCGGGACGUGGCAUGCGGUUUGCUGCCGGACCGAGAAUGACAAAUCGACAGUCCCCAGACCACUCUGCCCUUCGGAGAUAUCUGCGGACGAGAAUUUGGCUGGCUUCCACUCCAGGACUGAAUAUAAGAGCAGAAGAAGGACCUGCUGAACCAGGUAACGUCUCACCUGGCCGAGCCUCCUGUUCUCACAGUGGCCAACCAUAGGGGAAGCCUCCCAGCAGGACCUGAGUGCGAGAGCAAUUCUAUCCUUCUGGGAUUUCGAGCAACUGGUUGAUGGAUCGAGUUUUCUCACAUGCUGCUUUCGCGCAACGAGCUCCGCCAAAAGUGGCUUGGGGCAAACAUCCAAAACACCGAAAUGCAGAGCAUCGGAAAUGCAAAAUAUUCAAAAUACAGAGCAGGCCUGUAAAUUCAGAAAUGACAAAAAGCAAUGAUUCGGUGAACACAGAAUAAAUUCAAUAUCGCAAAAUGAUCCAGCUUAAUUACAUAAAUACAAAGCAAAACAAGAGCUCACCAUUUUCUGGCCCUGGUCUCUCUGCGCUGCAAGGAGCUUGGCCUACAUAAAGCACAGAGAGGAGAGAAAGAUGACAGGCAGCUUGCCUCCCUCACGCUUACUCCAGAGGAGGCUGGCAGCAGCAGCAGGAGGGCACUGGUGGUCAGCCUCUUCUCCACCCUCCUGGAAGUCCAGCUGCUGGCCCGUGUCUUAUUGCACUAGGAUUCAGAAGCACGACUGCCUUUGAAUUUGUCCAAUCCUCUUUCAAAGCCAUCCAAGUUGCUUGCCAUCCCUGCCUCCUGUGGCAGUGAGUUCCGCAUCCCAACACUGCCUUGCUUUGAUGGUGUAGUACAGUUCUGAGAUGGUGUGGGCACAUGCACACACAACCCUCCUGCGUUGGCGGGGGCACCUGAGCAAAUCGUGGGAAGCCGCCUUCUACCACCUCGUCCAUCUAGCUCAGUACUGCCAACACGGGCUGGCAGCAGCAUUUCAGGGAUUCAGGCCAGGAGCCUCUCCCAGCCCAGCCUGAAGAUGGAUUGAACCAGGGACCUUCUGCAUACAAGCCAGGUGCUUGAACACUGAGCUUGGCCCCAUCUGCGGACUUUAUUGGGGAAAUGGAGGGGCUGCCAUGAGCCCACUCCUAUUCCCCCCCCCAAUUUUUUAAUUCAUUUUAUAACAC